AUUGAACGCUGGCGGCAGGCCUAACACAUGCAAGUCGAGCGAGCGGCGGACGGGUGAGUAAUGUCUGGGAAACUGCCUGAUGGAGGGGGAUAACUACUGGAAACGGUAGCUAAUACCGCAUACCAUCAGAUGUGCCCAGAUGGGAUUAGCUAGUCGGUGGGGUAAUGGCUCACCUAGGCGACGAUCCCUAGCUGGCCUGAGAGGAUGACCGGCCACACUGGAACUGAGACACGGUCCAGACUCCUACGGGAGGCAGCAGUGGGGAAUAUUGCACAAUGGGCGCAAGCCUGACGCAGCCAUGCCGCGUGUAUGAAGAAGGUUUUCGGGUUGUAAAGUACUGUCAGCGGGGAGGCGUUACCUGAAGAAGAAGCCCCGGCUAACUCCGUGCCAGCCGCCGCGGUAAUAC
Molecule: ribosomal RNA, 406 nt
Filed under: uncultured bacterium
Lineage: Bacteria
Description: partial 16S ribosomal RNA
Rfam family: Bacterial small subunit ribosomal RNA
Source: RNAcentral